This 560-nucleotide long non-coding RNA is filed under the name Bos taurus (domestic cattle). RNAcentral describes it as "long non-coding RNA NONBTAT026444". The record is from RNAcentral. Lineage: Eukaryota; Metazoa; Chordata; Mammalia; Artiodactyla; Bovidae.
CUAGUUAGUGCACAUAAAUGUACUUUUCACUUUUUAAAAUGCAUCCUUGGUGCUCAAGUCCAAUUCAGUGUUGUCUCUAAAAGCCAUUGUAUGCACAGGCUACUGCAUGCUUUGAUGUUAAAUGGCUGAACAGUCUAUUCUAAAAUUCAGUUGACACUUUUCUUACUACAGCAAAUUAGCUUGAAAAAAUAAUUAGUUCCAACUAUGAGCUCUGGUGUAUCUUUUCUGCCCCUUUUAUGGAGUCUUUGACCAAAUAUUUUCUAUGAUUAAUAAUGUAGGUAUAAAGCUACCUCUGAUACAGAAGUGUUCUUUAUAAGUUUAUUUUAGAUAUCGUGAAUCCCUUAACUGAAAGGAGAGGUGACAGGAAAGCCUAUUUGAAUGGAUGCUGAGGGAGAUUGUGCCCAUACCAAGACAGUCAGUAGAAGUAUUUCAGUAGCAGAACAAUGGAUUCAUGUUCUCAUUUUGCCUCACAAUAAAUGCCUGUCUCUUUGCAGGACCAAGAAUGACUUGCAAUCUAUCUGUAAUGCAUACUUACUUAUUCAAUAAAGCUAAGAUUACAC